RNAcentral lists this unclassified non-coding RNA (223 nucleotides) under Hevea brasiliensis (rubber tree). Lineage: Eukaryota; Viridiplantae; Streptophyta; Magnoliopsida; Malpighiales; Euphorbiaceae. The record is from RNAcentral.
AAACCUUGGCAUCAGAAAAUGUAAACCGAGGAAAGAAGUUGACUGUGUUACAACACAAGAACUGACAAUGCGCCCAGCUAGUCAAAGUAAAGCUGCAUCUAGAUUAGAGAUACUGGGUAUACUACCCUGGUACACCCUUCAAUUUAUUUGUGUGUAAACAUAAGGGGUGGAGUAGUGGAACUAGAUAUGGUACAAGUCCAGGCCAGCCAACUAUUUUGGGCUG